Oncorhynchus gorbuscha (pink salmon) is the source of this 883-nucleotide RNA transcript. It is a transcript of the gene named nuclear pore complex protein Nup107-like, with no coding region annotated. NCBI's taxonomy places the organism in Eukaryota, Metazoa, Chordata, Actinopteri, Salmoniformes, Salmonidae. The transcript is spliced from 3 exons. The record is from RefSeq and is a predicted model, not a curated record.
AUGGAGGGCUCAGCGCUAGGUUAGCAUGUCAGCGAGGUCUGUCUGUAUAUCUGUCUAUUAAUGGUGGUAAUUGCCAGUUGGUGGUAUGAGGGGCUCAGCGCUAGGUUAGCAUGUCAGAGAGGUCUGUCUAUUAAUGGAGGGGCUCAGCACUAGGUUAGCAUGUCAGAGGUCUGUCUAUUAAUGGAGGGCUCAGCGCUGGGUUAGCAUGUCAGAGAGGUCUGUCUAUUAAUGGAGGGGCUCAGCGCUAGGUUAGCAUGUCAGAGAGGUCUGUCUAUUAAUGGUGGUAUGAGGGGCUCAGCGCUAGGUUAGCAUGUCAGAGGUCUGUCUAUUAAUGGAGGGCUCAGCGCUAGGUUAGCAUGUCAGAGGUCUGUCUAUUAAUGGAGGGGCUCAGCGCUAGGUUAGCAUGUCGGCCUGUAUUACAGCUCUCUGUCUCCAGUACUACUGUGUUCUUUCUAGGUACAGGUUACAUCUACCACUGUCGUUUUAUUCCAGGACACGGAGGAGGACCCAGAGAGAGGCCACCAGAUGGUGCUGCUUCGUCGUCUCUGUCUGCCCAUGAUGUCCUUCCUGUUGCAGACAGUACUGCAGAGAACACAACGUCACCAGGAGAGUCUCAGACUGGCUGAUAUCAUCGCCUCAGACCAACACCGCCUCUACGAGGUGUUCUCCAAGGAGGAGCUGAGGAAGUUCCUUCAGAAGAUGAGGGAGUCGUCUCUUCUCUUAUUGGAUAAGGGUCUAGACCCGCUGGGGUACGAGAUCCAACCAUAAAUACACCUGGACAUUUUUCUUUGUGUUUUUUUUUUUUUUUUUUUGUUGCCAAAUUUAAGUAACGGAGUGAAUGAUUUUCUGCAUUUUGUAUACAAUAAAAGUGACGUGUCUGAAA